CCGAGUUCAUGCCCUCACGGGUAGAUCUCCCACCCUAUGUUAUUAUUACCUCUGUUGCUUUGGCGGGCCGCUAGAUUUCGGUCAGGCUACCGGCUCCGGCUGGUAAGCGCCCGCCAGAGGACCCCAAACCCUGAAUAUUAGUGUCGUCUGAGUACUAUAUAAUAGUUA
This 168-nucleotide unclassified non-coding RNA is filed under the name uncultured Helotiales. RNAcentral describes it as "sequence contains ITS1". The record is from RNAcentral. Lineage: Eukaryota; Fungi; Ascomycota; Leotiomycetes; Helotiales.